Cyprinodon variegatus (sheepshead minnow) is the source of this 120-nucleotide small nuclear RNA. Lineage: Eukaryota; Metazoa; Chordata; Actinopteri; Cyprinodontiformes; Cyprinodontidae. The record is from Ensembl.
AUGUUGUAUGAAAGGAGAGGUUAACACCUUGAAAAGGAUGGAAUUGGCCUUGUAGCCUGCAACACAUAUACAGUUAAGGCAUUACCACCUAUUUCGUGGCAUCUCUGGCUGCCUAGCUCA